RNAcentral lists this unclassified non-coding RNA (245 nucleotides) under rhizosphere metagenome. RNAcentral describes it as "partial ribosomal RNA internal transcribed spacer region". The record is from RNAcentral.
GUAGGUGAACCUGCGGAAGGAUCAUUAAAAAAUAUAGAAUUAAUCUUCUGUAAACCCAAUCUGCGUAUUUGUAUUUGUUGCUUCCGUGGGACUGUGAACGCAAGUUCCCUCUGGCGCUUUUCUUUGUAAUUGAUGCUGGGGAGUGCUCACGGGAGGUAAUAAUAAACUCUGUUUUUUUUGAACUCAGUCUGAAUAUUGUUUAUACAUAAACUUUAAAACUUUCAACAACGGAUCUCUUGGUUCUC